RNAcentral lists this ribosomal RNA (1276 nucleotides) under metagenome. RNAcentral describes it as "SSU rRNA". It matches the Rfam family "Eukaryotic small subunit ribosomal RNA", at positions 528 to 1823 of the family's 1831-position model. The record is from RNAcentral.
AAUCCUUUAACGAGGAUCUAUUGGAGGGCAAGUCUGGUGCCAGCAGCCGCGGUAAUUCCAGCUCCAAUAGCGUAUAUUAAAGUUGUUGUGGUUAAAAAGCUCGUAGUUGGAUCUCAGUUCGAGUCAGGCGGUCCACUUGCCAGUGGCUACUGCCUGACUGAACACUUUACCGAGUUGUCCUAUGGUGUUCUUCACCGAGCGUCAUAGGCGAUCGGUACGUUUACUUUGAAAAAAUUAGAGUGCUCAAAGCAGGCGUAACGCCCGAAUAAUGUUGCAUGGAAUAAUGGAAUAGGACCUCGGUUCUAUUUUGUUGGUCUUCGGAAUCAGAGGUAAUGAUCAAUAGGGACAGACGGGGACAUUCGUAUUGCGGCGCUAGAGGUGAAAUUCUUGGACCGUCGCAAGACGAACUAAAGCGAAAGCAUUUGUCAAGAAUGUUUUCAUUAAUCAAGAACGAAAGUUAGAGGUUCGAAGGCUAUCAGAUACCGCCCUAGUUCUAACCAUAAACGAUGCCAACCAGUAAUUCGUCUGAGUUCCUUAAAUGACUCGACGAGGGACUUCCGGGAAACCAAAGUCUUUCGGUUCCAGGGGAAGUAUGGUUGCAAAGCUGAAACUUAAAGAAAUUGACGGAAGGGCACCACCAGGAGUGGAGCCUGCGGCUUAAUUUGACCCAACACGGGAAAACUCACCCGGCCCGGACACUGGAAGGAUUGACAGAUUGAGAGCUCUUUCUUGAUUCAGUGGGUGGUGGUGCAUGGCCGUUCUUAGUUGGUGGAGUGAUUUGUCUGGUUAAUUCCGAUAACGAACGAGACUCUAGCCUACUAAAUAGAUCGUCGGCUUACAAACGCCGGCGAGACUUCUUAGAGGGACAGGCGGUGAUUCAACCGCACGAAACAGAGCAAUAACAGGUCUGUGAUGCCCUUAGAUGUCCGGGGCCGCACGCGCGCUACACUGAAGUGAUCAGCGUGCUUUUUCAACCUACUCUGUCAAGAGUGGGGAACCCAAUGAACCUUCUUCGUGAUUGGGAUAGGGGAUUGUAAUUAUUCCCCUUGAACGAGGAAUUCCCAGUAAGCGCGAGUCAUAAGCCCGCGUUGAUUACGUCCCUGCCCUUUGUACACACCGCCCGUCGCUACUACCGAUUGAAUGUUUUAGUGAGGUCUUCGGACUGGCCGGCGCAGCACUCUCGUAGUGCAGCGCUGUGUUUGGAAAGAUGCCCAAACUUGAACAUUUAGAGGAAGUAAAAGUCGUAACAAGGUUUCCGUAGGUGAACCUGCGGAAG